AGCGAACGCUGGCGGCAGGCCUAACACAUGCAAGUCGAACGAACUCUUCGGAGUUAGUGGCGGACGGGUGCGUAACACGUGGGAACGUGCCUUUUGGUUCGGAAUAACUCAGGGAAAAUUGUGCUAAUACCGAAUGUGCCCUUCGGGGGAAAGAUUUCUCGCCAUUAGAGCGGCCCGCGUCUGAUUAGCUAGUUGGUGAGGUACCGGCUCACCAAGGCGACGAUCAGUAGCUGGUCUGAGAGGAUGACCAGCCACACUGGGACUGAGACACGGCCCAGACUCCUACGGGAGGCAGCAGUGGGGAAUCUUGCGCAAUGGGCGAAAGCCUGACGCAGCCAUGCCGCGUGAAUGAUGAAGGUCUUAGGAUUGUAAAAUUCUUUCACCGGGGACGAUAAUGACGGUACCCGGAGAAGAAGCCCCGGCUAACUUCGUG
This 433-nucleotide ribosomal RNA is filed under the name uncultured bacterium. RNAcentral's name for it is "partial 16S ribosomal RNA". It matches the Rfam family "Bacterial small subunit ribosomal RNA", at positions 29 to 507 of the family's 1533-position model. The record is from RNAcentral.